AACGCACAUUGCGCCCCUUGGUAUUCCGAGGGGCAUGCCUGUUCGAGCGUCAUUAUAACCCUCAAGCUCUGCUUGGUAUUGGGCGUCACCCUUGGGUGCGCCUUAAAACCAGUAGCGGUGCCGUCUAGCCCUGAGCGUAGUAAAUUUUCUCGCUAUGGGUGCUUGGUGGAUGCUCGCUAGCAACCCCAAAUUAUUCUGGUUGACCUCGGAUCAGGUAGGAAUACCCGCUGAACUUAA
RNAcentral lists this unclassified non-coding RNA (237 nucleotides) under uncultured fungus. Its description in RNAcentral is "sequence contains ITS2". The stretch from base 1 to 52 matches the Rfam family "5.8S ribosomal RNA", at positions 103 to 154 of the family's 154-position model. Lineage: Eukaryota; Fungi. The record is from RNAcentral.